CUUAGCAGAGAUGCUUUGGUGCCUUCGGGAACUCUGAGACAGGUGCUGCAUGGCUGUCGUCAGCUCGUGUUGUGAAAUGUUGGGUUAAGUCCCGCAACGAGCGCAACCCUUAUCCUUUGUUGCCAGCGGUUCGGCCGGGAACUCAAAGGAGACUGCCAGUGAUAAACU
This 168-nucleotide ribosomal RNA is filed under the name uncultured Citrobacter sp. RNAcentral describes it as "partial 16S ribosomal RNA". It matches the Rfam family "Bacterial small subunit ribosomal RNA", at positions 996 to 1164 of the family's 1533-position model. Lineage: Bacteria; Pseudomonadati; Pseudomonadota; Gammaproteobacteria; Enterobacterales; Enterobacteriaceae. The record is from RNAcentral.